UACGUAGGGUGCGAGCGUUGUCCGGAAUUAUUGGGCGUAAAGGGCUCGUAGGCGGUCUGUCGCGUCGGGAGUGAAAACUCAGGGCUUAACCCUGAGCCUGCUUCCGAUACGGGCAGACUAGAGGUAUGCAGGGGAGAACGGAAUUCCUGGUGUAGCGGUGGAAUGCGCAGAUAUCAGGAGGAACACCGGUGGCGAAGGCGGUUCUCUGGGACGGUACUGACGCUGAGGCGCGAAAGCGUGGGGAGCGAUCCGG
Molecule: ribosomal RNA, 253 nt
Filed under: uncultured bacterium
Lineage: Bacteria
Description: partial 16S ribosomal RNA
Rfam family: Bacterial small subunit ribosomal RNA
Source: RNAcentral